RNAcentral lists this ribosomal RNA (587 nucleotides) under uncultured bacterium. RNAcentral's name for it is "bacterial SSU rRNA". It matches the Rfam family "Bacterial small subunit ribosomal RNA", at positions 338 to 916 of the family's 1533-position model. The record is from RNAcentral.
CCUACGGGAGGCAGCAGUGGGGAAUUUUGGACAAUGGGCGCAAGCCUGAUCCAGCAAUGCCGCGUGCAGGAUGAAGGCCUUCGGGUUGUAAACUGCUUUUGUACGGAACGAAAAAGUCUGCCCUAAUACGGUGGGCCCAUGACGGUACCGUAAGAAUAAGCACCGGCUAACUACGUGCCAGCAGCCGCGGUAAUACGUAGGGUGCGAGCGUUAAUCGGAAUUACUGGGCGUAAAGCGUGCGCAGGCGGUUAUAUAAGACAGAUGUGAAAUCCCCGGGCUCAACCUGGGACCUGCAUUUGUGACUGUAUAGCUAGAGUACGGUAGAGGGGGAUGGAAUUCCGCGUGUAGCAGUGAAAUGCGUAGAUAUGCGGAGGAACACCGAUGGCGAAGGCAAUCCCCUGGACCUGUACUGACGCUCAUGCACGAAAGCGUGGGGAGCAAACAGGAUUAGAUACCCUGGUAGUCCACGCCCUAAACGAUGUCAACUGGUUGUUGGGUCUUCACUGACUCAGUAACGAAGCUAACGCGUGAAGUUGACCGCCUGGGGAGUACGGGCCGCAAGGUUGAAACUCAAAUGAAAUUGACGG